This is an RNA transcript of Homo sapiens (human), 2706 nucleotides long. It is a transcript of the gene named solute carrier family 5 member 11, with no coding region annotated. NCBI's taxonomy places the organism in Eukaryota, Metazoa, Chordata, Mammalia, Primates, Hominidae. The transcript has 19 exons. The record is from RefSeq and is marked validated.
GUCCCAAGCCUGCCUGUCCCCAGCGUGGAGGCGGGACAGUGGAAGACUGGGUGAGUGAAGCAGGAUGGUGCCUUGGGCUCCAGCGUCUCCCCAACCCCUCCAUGCCAUGGGUCCCCACGCAGCUGAGGCUGGAGUUUGGAGUUUGACCCGCUUGGAGGCUCUCUCAGCAGCGGGCAUAUAGGAGGAAGGGUCACUGCUGUCUCCGGAAGCUCUUGGCUGCAAAGAGAGAGGAUCCCGGGUAUCUCCCUCCUUACAACCACCGCCACCUCCUAGUGCCUUAGAAGCCACUGACAGCCCCCAGGGCAGGUGAGCCCUGCAUCUGGAAUAAGGAUCCAGAGGUCUCGUUCAGGACCAUGGAGAGCGGCACCAGCAGCCCUCAGCCUCCACAGUUAGAUCCCCUGGAUGCGUUUCCCCAGAAGGGCUUGGAGCCUGGGGACAUCGCGGUGCUAGUUCUGUACUUCCUCUUUGUCCUGGCUGUUGGACUAUGGACACAGAGGAGGUACUAUCUACGAGGAACAGGCUCUCACCAGACACCAAACCUCUCGGUGCCUUGAUAUUGAACUUCCAAGUCUCCAGAAUUUCCACAGUGAAGACCAAAAGAGACACAGUGAAAGGCUACUUCCUGGCUGGAGGGGACAUGGUGUGGUGGCCAGUGGGUGCAUCCUUGUUUGCCAGCAAUGUUGGAAGUGGACAUUUCAUUGGCCUGGCAGGGUCAGGUGCUGCUACGGGCAUUUCUGUAUCAGCUUAUGAACUUAAUGGCUUGUUUUCUGUGCUGAUGUUGGCCUGGAUCUUCCUACCCAUCUACAUUGCUGGUCAGGUCACCACGAUGCCAGAAUACCUACGGAAGCGCUUCGGUGGCAUCAGAAUCCCCAUCAUCCUGGCUGUACUCUACCUAUUUAUCUACAUCUUCACCAAGAUCUCGGUUGCAGUGUGGAAGAUGGAGUGGGAGAGGACCAAAAGCAGAAGCAGGAAGACCAUUGAGGAGGCUGCUGCAUCAGCCCAGGGCCCACAGGGCUCCAGCUGAAGACCCCUGAUCUGGGAUGCAGUGGAUUAACAAGGGAUGACGUAGACAUGUAUGCAGGUGCCAUCUUCAUCCAGCAGUCUUUGCACCUGGAUCUGUACCUGGCCAUAGUUGGGCUACUGGCCAUCACUGCUGUAUACACGGUUGCUGGUGGCCUGGCUGCUGUGAUCUACACGGAUGCCCUGCAGACGCUGAUCAUGCUUAUAGGAGCGCUCACCUUGAUGGGCUACAGUUUCGCCGCGGUUGGUGGGAUGGAAGGACUGAAGGAGAAGUACUUCUUGGCCCUGGCUAGCAACCGGAGUGAGAACAGCAGCUGCGGGCUGCCCCGGGAAGAUGCCUUCCAUAUUUUCCGAGAUCCGCUGACAUCUGAUCUCCCGUGGCCGGGGGUCCUAUUUGGAAUGUCCAUCCCAUCCCUCUGGUACUGGUGCACGGAUCAGGUGAUUGUCCAGCGGACUCUGGCUGCCAAGAACCUGUCCCAUGCCAAAGGAGGUGCUCUGAUGGCUGCAUACCUGAAGGUGCUGCCCCUCUUCAUAAUGGUGUUCCCUGGGAUGGUCAGCCGCAUCCUCUUCCCAGAUCAAGUGGCCUGUGCAGAUCCAGAGAUCUGCCAGAAGAUCUGCAGCAACCCCUCAGGCUGUUCGGACAUCGCGUAUCCCAAACUCGUGCUGGAACUCCUGCCCACAGGGCUCCGUGGGCUGAUGAUGGCUGUGAUGGUGGCGGCUCUCAUGUCCUCCCUCACCUCCAUCUUUAACAGUGCCAGCACCAUCUUCACCAUGGACCUCUGGAAUCACCUCCGGCCUCGGGCAUCUGAGAAGGAGCUCAUGAUUGUGGGCAGGGUGUUUGUGCUGCUGCUGGUCCUGGUCUCCAUCCUCUGGAUCCCUGUGGUCCAGGCCAGCCAGGGCGGCCAGCUCUUCAUCUAUAUCCAGUCCAUCAGCUCCUACCUGCAGCCGCCUGUGGCGGUGGUCUUCAUCAUGGGAUGUUUCUGGAAGAGGACCAAUGAAAAGGGUGCCUUCUGGGGCCUGAUCUCGGGCCUGCUCCUGGGCUUGGUUAGGCUGGUCCUGGACUUUAUUUACGUGCAGCCUCGAUGCGACCAGCCAGAUGAGCGCCCGGUCCUGGUGAAGAGCAUUCACUACCUCUACUUCUCCAUGAUCCUGUCCACGGUCACCCUCAUCACUGUCUCCACCGUGAGCUGGUUCACAGAGCCACCCUCCAAGGAGAUGGUCAGCCACCUGACCUGGUUUACUCGUCACGACCCCGUGGUCCAGAAGGAACAAGCACCACCAGCAGCUCCCUUGUCUCUUACCCUCUCUCAGAACGGGAUGCCAGAGGCCAGCAGCAGCAGCAGCGUCCAGUUCGAGAUGGUUCAAGAAAACACGUCUAAAACCCACAGCUGUGACAUGACCCCAAAGCAGUCCAAAGUGGUGAAGGCCAUCCUGUGGCUCUGUGGAAUACAGGAGAAGGGCAAGGAAGAGCUCCCGGCCAGAGCAGAAGCCAUCAUAGUUUCCCUGGAAGAAAACCCCUUGGUGAAGACCCUCCUGGACGUCAACCUCAUUUUCUGCGUGAGCUGCGCCAUCUUUAUCUGGGGCUAUUUUGCUUAGUGUGGGGUGAACCCAGGGGUCCAAACUCUGUUUCUCUUCAGUGCUCCAUUUUUUUAAUGAAAGAAAAAAUAAUAAAGCUUUUGUUUACCA